GGUUAAGCGACUAAGCGUACACGGUGGAUGCCCUGGCAGUCAGAGGCGAUGAAGGGCGUGCUAAUCUGCGAUAAGCGCCGGUAAGGUGAUAUGAACCGUUAUAACCGGCGAUACCCGAAUGGGGAAACCCAGUGUGACUCGUCACACUAUCAUUAACUGAAUCCAUAGGUUAAUGAGGCGAACCGGGGGAACUGAAACAUCUAAGUACCCCGAGGAAAAGAAAUCAACCGAGAUUCCCCCAGUAGCGGCGAGCGAACGGGGAGUAGCCCAGAGCCUGAAUCAGCAUGUGUGUUAGUGGAAGCGUCUGGAAAGGCGCGCGAUACAGGGUGACAGCCCCGUACACAAAAGCGCAUGUGCUGUGAGCUCGAUGAGUAGGGCGGGACACGUGGUAUCCUGUCUGAAUAUGGGGGGACCAUCCUCCAAGGCUAAAUACUCCUGACUGACCGAUAGUGAACCAGUACCGUGAGGGAAAGGCGAAAAGAACCCCGGCGAGGGGAGUGAAAAAGAACCUGAAACCGUGUACGUACAAGCAGUGGGAGCACAGGUUUACCUGUGUGACUGCGUACCUUUUGUAUAAUGGGUCAGCGACUUAUAUUCUGUAGCAAGGUUAACCGUAUAGGGGAGCCGUAGGGAAACCGAGUCUUAACCGGGCGUUAAGUUGCAGGGUAUAGACCCGAAACCCGGUGAUCUAGCCAUGGGCAGGUUGAAGGUUGGGUAACACUAACUGGAGGACCGAACCGACUAAUGUUGAAAAAUUAGCGGAUGACCUGUGGCUGGGGGUGAAAGGCCAAUCAAACCGGGAGAUAGCUGGUUCUCCCCGAAAGCUAUUUAGGUAGCGCCUCGUGAAUUCAUCUCCGGGGGUAGAGCACUGUUUCGGCUAGGGGGCCAUCCCGGCUUACCAACCCGAUGCAAACUGCGAAUACCGGAGAAUGUUAUCACGGGAGACACACGGCGGGUGCUAACGUCCGUCGUGAAGAGGGAAACAACCCAGACCGCCAGCUAAGGUCCCAAAGUCAUGGUUAAGUGGGAAACGAUGUGGGAAGGCCCAGACAGCCAGGAUGUUGGCUUAGAAGCAGCCAUCAUUUAAAGAAAGCGUAAUAGCUCACUGGUCGAGUCGGCCUGCGCGGAAGAUGUAACGGGGCUAAACCAUGCACCGAAGCUGCGGCAGCGACGCUGAUGCGUUGUUGGGUAGGGGAGCGUUCUGUAAGCCUGCGAAGGUGGCCUGUGAGGGUUGCUGGAGGUAUCAGAAGUGCGAAUGCUGACAUAAGUAACGAUAAAGCGGGUGAAAAGCCCGCUCGCCGGAAGACCAAGGGUUCCUGUCCAACGUUAAUCGGGGCAGGGUGAGUCGACCCCUAAGGCGAGGCCGAAAGGCGUAGUCGAUGGGAAACGGGUUAAUAUUCCCGUACUUGGUGUUACUGCGAAGGGGGGACGGAGAAGGCUAUGUUGGCCGGGCGACGGUUGUCCCGGUUUAAGCGUGUAGGUGUGUGUUCCAGGUAAAUCCGGUUCACUUUAACACUGAGGCGUGAUGACGAGGCACUACGGUGCUGAAGCAACAAAUGCCCUGCUUCCAGGAAAAGCCUCUAAGCAUCAGGUAACAUCAAAUCGUACCCCAAACCGACACAGGUGGUCAGGUAGAGAAUACCAAGGCGCUUGAGAGAACUCGGGUGAAGGAAACUAGGCAAAAUGGUGCCGUAACUUCGGGAGAAGGCACGCUGACACGUAGGUGAAGUGAUUUACUCAUGGAGCUGAAGUCAGUCGAAGAUACCAGCUGGCUGCAACUGUUUAUUAAAAACACAGCACUGUGCAAACACGAAAGUGGACGUAUACGGUGUGACGCCUGCCCGGUGCCGGAAGGUUAAUUGAUGGGGUCAGCGCAAGCGAAGCUCCUGAUCGAAGCCCCGGUAAACGGCGGCCGUAACUAUAACGGUCCUAAGGUAGCGAAAUUCCUUGUCGGGUAAGUUCCGACCUGCACGAAUGGCGUAAUGAUGGCCAGGCUGUCUCCACCCGAGACUCAGUGAAAUUGAACUCGCUGUGAAGAUGCAGUGUACCCGCGGCAAGACGGAAAGACCCCGUGAACCUUUACUAUAGCUUGACACUGAACAUUGAGCCUUGAUGUGUAGGAUAGGUGGGAGGCUUUGAAGUGUGGACGCCAGUCUGCAUGGAGCCGACCUUGAAAUACCACCCUUUAAUGUUUGAUGUUCUAACGUGGACCCGUGAUCCGGGUUGCGGACAGUGUCUGGUGGGUAGUUUGACUGGGGCGGUCUCCUCCUAAAGAGUAACGGAGGAGCACGAAGGUUGGCUAAUCCUGGUCGGACAUCAGGAGGUUAGUGCAAUGGCAUAAGCCAGCUUGACUGCGAGCGUGACGGCGCGAGCAGGUGCGAAAGCAGGUCAUAGUGAUCCGGUGGUUCUGAAUGGAAGGGCCAUCGCUCAACGGAUAAAAGGUACUCCGGGGAUAACAGGCUGAUACCGCCCAAGAGUUCAUAUCGACGGCGGUGUUUGGCACCUCGAUGUCGGCUCAUCACAUCCUGGGGCUGAAGUAGGUCCCAAGGGUAUGGCUGUUCGCCAUUUAAAGUGGUACGCGAGCUGGGUUUAGAACGUCGUGAGACAGUUCGGUCCCUAUCUGCCGUGGGCGCUGGAGAACUGAGGGGGGCUGCUCCUAGUACGAGAGGACCGGAGUGGACGCAUCACUGGUGUUCGGGUUGUCAUGCCAAUGGCACUGCCCGGUAGCUAAAUGCGGAAGAGAUAAGUGCUGAAAGCAUCUAAGCACGAAACUUGCCCCGAGAUGAGUUCUCCCUGAGACUUAAAGUCUCCUGAAGGAACGUUGAAGACGACGACGUUGAUAGGCCGGGUGUGUAAGCGCAGCGAUGCGUUGAGCUAACCGGUACUAAUGAACCGUGAGGCUUAACCUU
This 2909-nucleotide ribosomal RNA is filed under the name Salmonella enterica subsp. enterica serovar Goldcoast. RNAcentral's name for it is "23S ribosomal RNA". It matches the Rfam family "Bacterial large subunit ribosomal RNA". The record is from RNAcentral. Lineage: Bacteria; Pseudomonadati; Pseudomonadota; Gammaproteobacteria; Enterobacterales; Enterobacteriaceae.